GCGUGCAUAGCUCAGCAGGAUAGAGCAACGGUUUCCUAAACCGUAGGUCGCAGGUUCGAAUCCUGCUGCGCGCACCA
This 77-nucleotide transfer RNA is filed under the name Myxococcales bacterium. Its description in RNAcentral is "tRNA-Arg". It matches the Rfam family "tRNA". From Rfam's summary of the family: Transfer RNA (tRNA) molecules are approximately 80 nucleotides in length. Their secondary structure includes four short double-helical elements and three loops (D, anti-codon, and T loops). Further hydrogen bonds mediate the characteristic L-shaped molecular structure. tRNAs have two regions of fundamental functional importance: the anti-codon, which is responsible for specific mRNA codon recognition, and the 3' end, to which the tRNAs corresponding amino acid is attached (by aminoacyl-tRNA synthetases). tRNAs cope with the degeneracy of the genetic code in two manners: having more than one tRNA (with a specific anti-codon) for a particular amino acid; and 'wobble' base-pairing, i.e. permitting non-standard base-pairing at the 3rd anti-codon position. The record is from RNAcentral. Lineage: Bacteria; Pseudomonadati; Myxococcota; Myxococcia; Myxococcales.